Molecule: non-coding RNA, 182 nt
Filed under: Pseudidiomarina planktonica
Lineage: Bacteria; Pseudomonadati; Pseudomonadota; Gammaproteobacteria; Alteromonadales; Idiomarinaceae
Description: Idiomarina planktonica 6S / SsrS RNA
Rfam family: 6S / SsrS RNA
About the family: E. coli 6S RNA was the first non coding RNA to be sequenced, but its function was unknown until recently. It consists of 184 nucleotides that fold into an extended hairpin structure with a large single-stranded internal bulge.
Source: Rfam by way of RNAcentral
GAUCGCCUGGGAUGUUUGCCAGCAGGCUUAUGUCCCUGAGCCGAUGCUUUUUACUAAGGGGUUCACUGAAUGACUAUUGCGCAAGCUCAGCUUGUACUGAGAAGCCUACGGUCACUAUUUGCGCCCCGCCUUGAACCAAUGGGUUCAAGGGCUACAGCCAGCAGCGGCAUCCUGGGUGAUCA